AUUGAACGCUGGCGGCAGGCCUAACACAUGCAAGUCGAACGGUAACAGGAAGAAGCUUGCUUCUUUGCUGACGAGUGGCGGACGGGUGAGUAAUGUCUGGGAAACUGCCUGAUGGAGGGGGAUAACAACUGGAAACGGUAGCUAAUACCGCAUAACGUCGCAAGACCAAAGAGGGGGACCUUCGGGCCUCUUGCCAUCGGAUGUGCCCAGAUGGGAUUAGCUAGUAGGUGGGGUAACGGCUCACCUAGGCGACGAUCCCUAGCUGGUCUGAGAGGAUGACCAGCCACACUGGAACUGAGACACGGUCCAGACUCCUACGGGAGGCAGCAGUGGGGAAUAUUGCACAAUGGGCGCAAGCCUGAUGCAGCCAUGCCGCGUGUAUGAAGAAGGCCUUCGGGUUGUAAAGUACUUUCAGCGGGGAGGAAGGGAGUAAAGUUAAUACCUUUGCUCAUUGACGUUACCCGCAGAAGAAGCACCGGCUAACUCCGUG
Molecule: ribosomal RNA, 490 nt
Filed under: uncultured bacterium
Lineage: Bacteria
Description: partial 16S ribosomal RNA
Rfam family: Bacterial small subunit ribosomal RNA
Source: RNAcentral